GUCUGCUGACUGUGAGGUACAGGGUCAAAGUAUAUGUUUAUGUUCGCCAUCCGCGGCGAACCGUUCGGGACAUCACUACUCUCCAGUAAUAGAAAAUCAAAUCUCUCCCAAAUGCUGUAAUUUUUCUACAGAGUAUUAAAUCCAUCAUCAGAGAAAAAUCCAUUUAAAAAAUGAUUCUAUGGGACAUUAAUCAGCAAUACAGGGAAGCUGCAGGUUGUAUAAUUUACAUGGGAUUAUUACUUAAAUAGUGUAACAAGAUUGGAAGGAGAGAUUUCCUCACCAAAUACUAACACCAUAAAGAGAGAUAGUAUCACUUUCUGUCACCCUUAAGUGGGAGAGACAGACUCUGUGUCCCAUAGCUCCUUCUGUCUGUGUCACCCUGCAGUGGGAGGGACAGACUCUGUGUCCCAUAGCUCCUUCUGUCUGUGUCACCCUGCAGUGGGAGGGACAGAAUCCGUGUCCCAUAGCUCCUUCUGUCUGUGUCACCCUGCAGUGGGAGGGGCAGACUCUGUGUCCCAUAGCUCCUUCUGUCUGUGUCACCCUGCAGUGGGAGGGGCAGACUCUGUGUCCGCUCCUUCUGUCUGUGUCACCCUGCAGUGGGAGAGACAGACUCUUUGUCUCAUAGCUCCCUUCUCUCUGUGUCACUCUGCAAUGGGAGGGACAGACUAUGUGUCCCAUAGCUCCUUCUGUCUGUGUCACCCUGCAGUGGGAGGGGCAGACUCUGUGUCCGCUCCUUCUGUCUGUGUCACCCUGCAGUGGGAGAGACAGACUCUUUGUCUCAUAGCUCCCUUCUCUCUGUGUCACUCUGCAAUGGGAGGGACAGACUAUGUGUCCCAUAGCUCCUUCUGUCUGUGUCACCCUUCAGUGGGAGGGACAGAUUUGUGUCCCGUAACUCCCUUAUCUCUGUCACCCUGCAGUGGUAGGGACAGAUUCUGUGUCCCACAGCUCCUUCUGUCUGUGUCACCCUGCAGUGGGAGGGACAGACUCCGUGUCCAAUAGUUCCUUCUAUCUGUGUCACCCUGCAGUGGGAGGGACAGACUGUGUGUCCCAUAGCUCCUUCUGUCUGUGUCACCCUGCAGUGGGAGGGACAGACUCCGUGUCCCAUAGCUCCUUCUGUCUGUCACCCUGCAGUGAGAGGGACAGACUCAGUGUCCCAUAUCUCCUUCUGUCUGUCACCCUGCAGUGGGAGGGACAGACUCAGUGUCCCAUAGCUCCUUCUGUCUGUUUCAUAUUGCAGUGGGAGAAACAGACUCUUUGUCUCAUAGCUCCCUUCUGUCUGGUCCACCCUGCAGUGGGAGGGACAGACUCUAUCUAUGUCAAACUGCAGUGGGAGGAUAUUACUCCAGGCGCCUUGUCUGUUAGGCCAAAUUAAGGUUCCUUCUCUGUUGCACAGCUGAUCCCCUUUCUGGGCCAGGGGUGAUCCUGUGAAAGCCAUAGGGAUGCACAUUCAGCUUCCACUGCCCUCUAAUUUGGCUGCUAGCUAAAUCAGGUGGAUCCCAGUUACUCUUCCUCCUUUUCUAAAUUUCUGUCAGUUUUAAAGCCCUAUCGAUUGGUUCAGGUUCCUUAAACUAGCCAGUCAGGAUUAAGCCAUUUGCCAGCUCCUUAUCCUAAAUGGAAAUGAUAUUUACAUAUUUAUUAAUUAUUAAUGUAAUGUAAUUACCUGAUUACACUGCCAGAGGCCAGUCUUGUCUAUACUGCCACCAACUGUUCCCUGUCCACCACAGAUACGCCCAAAGGUGGUGCUGGUGUUUCUCGAUCACCGUGAGUUGAUGAUUGGUAUUAUUAUUAUUUAUAAAGAAUCAACAAAUUCCGCAGCUCUGUACAAUAGAUAACAGAAGUAUUUACAGGACGAGUUUGACGCACAGGAACAGAGGGUGUCGAGGACCCUGCUCAAACCAGCUUACAUUCUAGAAGGAUUGGGUAAAGUGACACAAGAGGUAAAGUUAGGUUGUAUUUCACGUACGGGAAAGUAGGUUACUAGAAUAGUUUACAAAAAGGUUAGUUUAUUGGAUGACACAGUUGCCCACGGUUUGGCUUUUUUAUAAUUGGGGGGAUGGUUGCGUGCUUGAAGAGUGCAGGAAAUAUGGCAGAGGAAGGGAGGAGAUUGAAUAUUUUAGUGAGAGUCAGAGCAAGAGUGCGAGUGAGAUGUGAGGGAAUAUGAUCAAAGGAACAAGUGAUGAGACUGAAAGACCGAAGCAGAGCAGAAACCUCUGAUAGCAUAGCGGGUGGAAGUGAGCAUAGAACUACAGAGAGAGUGGGGUUGGGAUAAGUAUUCAUAGGGGUAGGAAAGAGAAUAGAGAUCACAGAAAUCUUCUCAGCGAAGUGAGUUGCGAAGUUUGUAGCAGUCAAGUUAGUAGGAGGAGGAGCAGCAAAGGGACGAAGGAUAGUGUGAAAGAGGCAUUUGGGUUCUUGGGAGAGGGUGGUUAUGACGUUAUUGAAGUAGUUUUCUUUUGCGGAGGAAAGCACCAAACUGUGCGAGCGUUGCAUAAAUUUAUAGUGGAGAAAGUAUGACACAGAUUAAGACUUUCUCCAGCAGCAUUCAUCAGUUCUAGAGUAUUUUUGGAGGUAAUUGGUCAGCUUAGUGUUUCAAGGUUGUAACCGGAAUCACUCAGAUUGUUUAAAUAUAGGAGGCACUAUGAUAUCAAAAUCAAGUACCUAAACGUCCUCCUUUACAGGAGUGUUGGAGAAUUGUAGGUCAUCGACACAUGAAGAAGCAGGAGUAGUGCCCUCAGAAGGGGGAGCCAGGUCUUAGUAGAGUAGAGAGUGCUAGUAGGGUGAGAGAAUUUGAUAUGAAGAGGUCGUGUAAAGCUGUUGUUUUCAGAUUGUUGCAGAUGGAACGGGCGUCCCAGAAUGUGCAUGGAAUGUUGGUAGAUGAGGAUAAAUAGCAGGCUACUUGGGUGAGGUUUGAGUGGUUUCUGGUUAUCUUAGUGCGAGCAGAGAAGGUGAAUAGCUCUGGGUUGGGAGAGCCAUCACCAGCUGCUAGAAAUAGGAGAAGAGAUAGUGACAAGAGAUGUGAUUGGGUUUUGUAUGGACAGGGUCUAGAAUGAGAUUGUUUUAGAGUAUGAGAGAGAGAGAAGUGGGGAGUGUGGCAGAGAGGGGGGAAAUUGGAGGUUGGAGGGUUAAGAGUAAAUUUGAUAGUAGAGGAGGAGAGGGUAAAGAAGAGGAACCUGCAGGAUUCAGAGUAAUUGCUUUCAUUCUCUGCAGGUGAGGGGAGAUUAUAAUGUAGGGAAUCCCCUGCAGAGCACAGGUGAUUAAUGUCUGGUUAAUUCUCCUACAUCCAGUAGCGCAUCAUCCAAACCUGGCAUAAAUCUCUGCCCAAAAAGCCAUUGCCGUCUUUAUAGCUACAACUUACAAAAGUUAUGUUUGAAUAUCAGGAAUGUAUAAAACACAGAUGUAUAAGCCGAACAGCUUCUAAAUGAAUGAAUCUGUAACCAUUUCAGCUAAUUGUAAGUCUUCCAGAGAGCGCUGGUGUAGCACGCCGCAGCCUGUCGAAGCAGUAAACACGAGCUGUAAGUUUUGCAGCAAAUAUUCAUUGUGUGGUUAUGUGAUGCAAUUCAGAUGUGCAAAUGCUGCAGGAACAUUUCCUAAGUCAGUAGCUGCCCUGUCUGCCAGUCAGGGAACGCACACUGGCGUGGGACCCAAACAUGGCGAUUAACAACCAUCCACAGCACAAAUUAUCGUAUUCAUUCACAAUAAUGGAGAUGGUUUUCCGGAUGUCUGCUGAUCCCCAAAUCAUCAUUAUUCUCAACACACUUAUUCCAGCCACUGCUCACGGUGAUCAAACACAAUUUUCUGAUGUGCGCUAUAAGCAACGGAGACUGUGCUGCCCAUGGACCUCUGGGUUUCAACCCGAUGGGAUGCGUCUCAUACAAGGGUGGAAAAGACUUAAAUAAGCACAUCACUGACACUUUCGGCAUCCCCAGGCAAGCGCAAUCACGCAAAAGUGGCGAGUUAAUAGAUGGAGAUUUACAUUUAAAUGUUUACCAAAAAGUAAAAAGAAAUUUUAAAAAACUGGGGGCAAACAUGUCCUACUUUCUUAGGCAGAUGGGGCUCAAUGGACUGUGAGGAGAGCUCUUACUGCACAUGAACUGGUAGUCCCCCCUGUGGCUGUUUUUAUCUGUAAUGCUGACCCUAACCUAUAGCCCCUGUGUAUAAGUCACAUAACUGUUGAUCUAUCUCCUUUAUCCCGUGUUACUGUCCUUGUCCAGUUCACCACUUCUACCCAUGUCCACUCAUCAUCUCCCUGUUCUUUUUCCUUCCUCUGUUCAUUCCUAUCCCCCAUUGCAUUAUCUCAUCUGUGCCAUCCAUUCAACUUCAUUCAUUAUAUCCCCAGUUGGCUCUCUCCCCAUCUCUCUAUUCCAGCUCCCCCUCUCGCUACCUCUCCUCUCCAGCUUGCUUUCUCCCCAUCUCUACUUUACAGCUCCCUCUCUCCUCACCUCUCCUUCCCUGCUCCCUCUUAUUUCCAGUUCCAUGUCGUUCCACUUCUUCUCCCCAGCUCAAUCUUCACUCCAAAGAAGACUAUUUUGAUGUCUUCCUCCCAACAUUUUUCCUCCUCACCUGUUUUUCUCUCCUCAUGUCCCCCAUUUCUCUUCCCCCUUCUGUGUCCCUCUCUUGCCAUCUUUUUUCCCUUUCCUGCUGUCUUUCUCCUAUCAUCAUUCCUUCCUCCCACACAUUGCAUCUCUCGUACCAUCUCUUUUCCUUUGUUGUGUCUGACCUACUACCUCUCUUCCUUGAUUUUUCUCUCCUACCAUCACUGUCUCUCGCUUACCAAUUCUCUUCCCCGUUGUCUCUCCCAAUAUCUCCUUUCCUGCUGUCUCUCCCAAUCUCUCCUCCCUUGCUGUCUCUCCUAAGUCCCAAUCUGCCUGUGCUGAUAAAGAAUGGUCCCCAGCAUGUCUAGAUGAAAUCUAUAACUUUAUGAAUAUAAUUAUUUAUUUAUUUUGAAG
RNAcentral lists this long non-coding RNA (4943 nucleotides) under Pelobates cultripes (western spadefoot toad). The record is from RNAcentral. Lineage: Eukaryota; Metazoa; Chordata; Amphibia; Anura; Pelobatidae.